This 305-nucleotide ribosomal RNA is filed under the name uncultured bacterium. RNAcentral's name for it is "bacterial SSU rRNA". It matches the Rfam family "Bacterial small subunit ribosomal RNA", at positions 336 to 638 of the family's 1533-position model. The record is from RNAcentral.
UUCCUACGGGGGGCAGCAGUGAGGAAUAUUGGUCAAUGGGCUUACGCCUGAACCAGCCAAGUCGCGUGAGGGAAGACUGCCCUAUGGGUUGUAAACCUCUUUUGUCAGGGAGCAACGCCGGCUACGUGUAGCCGGACUGAGAGUACCUGAAGAAAAAGCAUCGGCUAACUCCGUGCCAGCAGCCGCGGUAAUACGGAGGAUGCGAGCGUUAUCCGGAUUUAUUGGGUUUAAAGGGUGCGCAGGCGGACCAUCAAGUCAGCGGUAAAAUCGUGGGGCCCAACCCCAACCCGCCGUUGAAACUGGCG